UACGUAGGGGGCUAGCGUUGUCCGGAAUCAUUGGGCGUAAAGAGCGUGUAGGCGGCCCGGUAAGUCCGCUGUAAAAGUCAAAGGCUCAACCUUUGAAUGUCAGUGGAUACUGCCGGGCUAGAGUCCGGAAGAGGCGAGUGGAACUCCUGGUGUAGCGGUGGAAUGCGCAGAUAUCAGGAGGAACACCCGUAGCGAAGGCGGCACUCUGGGCCGAUACUGACACUGAGGAGCGAAAGCGUGGGGAGCGAACAGG
Molecule: ribosomal RNA, 253 nt
Filed under: uncultured bacterium
Lineage: Bacteria
Description: partial 16S ribosomal RNA
Rfam family: Bacterial small subunit ribosomal RNA
Source: RNAcentral